Molecule: ribosomal RNA, 507 nt
Filed under: uncultured Bacillota bacterium
Lineage: Bacteria; Bacillati; Bacillota
Description: bacterial SSU rRNA
Rfam family: Bacterial small subunit ribosomal RNA
Source: RNAcentral
CCGGUGAGCGAAGAAGGCCUUCGGGUCGUAAAGCUCUGUUGUUAGGGAAGAACAAGUACGAGAGUAACUGCUCGUACCUUGACGGUACCUAACCAGAAAGCCACGGCUAACUACGUGCCAGCAGCCGCGGUAAUACGUAGGUGGCAAGCGUUGUCCGGAAUUAUUGGGCGUAAAGCGCGCGCAGGCGGUCCUUUAAGUCUGAUGUGAAAGCCCACGGCUCAACCGUGGAGGGUCAUUGGAAACUGGGGGACUUGAGUGCAGAAGAGGAGAGUGGAAUUCCACGUGUAGCGGUGAAAUGCGUAGAGAUGUGGAGGAACACCAGUGGCGAAGGCGACUCUCUGGUCUGUAACUGACGCUGAGGCGCGAAAGCGUGGGGAGCAAACAGGAUUAGAUACCCUGGUAGUCCACGCCGUAAACGAUGAGUGCUAAGUGUUAGAGGGUUUCCGCCCUUUAGUGCUGCAGCUAACGCAUUAAGCACUCCGCCUGGGGAGUACGGCCGCAAGGCUG